This 394-nucleotide ribosomal RNA is filed under the name uncultured Rhodoferax sp. Its description in RNAcentral is "bacterial SSU rRNA". It matches the Rfam family "Bacterial small subunit ribosomal RNA", at positions 988 to 1382 of the family's 1533-position model. Lineage: Bacteria; Pseudomonadati; Pseudomonadota; Betaproteobacteria; Burkholderiales; Comamonadaceae. The record is from RNAcentral.
GUACGGAACCCUUUAGAGAUAGAGGGGUGCUCGAAAGAGAGCCGUAACACAGGUGCUGCAUGGCUGUCGUCAGCUCGUGUCGUGAGAUGUUGGGUUAAGUCCCGCAACGAGCGCAACCCUUGUCAUUAGUUGCUACAUUCAGUUGGGCACUCUAAUGAGACUGCCGGUGACAAGCCGGAGGAAGGUGGGGAUGACGUCAAGUCCUCAUGGCCCUUAUAGGUGGGGCUACACACGUCAUACAAUGGCUGGUACAAAGGGUUGCCAACCCGCGAGGGGGAGCCAAUCCCAUAAAGCCAGUCGUAGUCCGGAUCGUAGUCUGCAACUCGACUACGUGAAGUCGGAAUCGCUAGUAAUCGUGGAUCAGAAUGUCACGGUGAAUACGUUCCCGGGUCUU